This 1374-nucleotide ribosomal RNA is filed under the name uncultured bacterium. RNAcentral describes it as "bacterial SSU rRNA". It matches the Rfam family "Bacterial small subunit ribosomal RNA". The record is from RNAcentral.
AGAGUUUGAUCCUGGCUCAGGACGAACGCUGGCGGCGCGCCUAACACAUGCAAGUCGAACGAGUGAGAGAGAGCUUGCUUUCUCGAGCGAGUGGCGAACGGGUGAGUAACGCGUGAGGAACCUGCCUCAAAGAGGGGGACAACAGUUGGAAACGACUGCUAAUACCGCAUAAGCCCACGGGUCGGCAUCGACCAGAGGGAAAAGGAGCAAUCCGCUUUGAGAUGGCCUCGCGUCCGAUUAGCUAGUUGGUGAGGUAAUGGCCCACCAAGGCGACGAUCGGUAGCCGGACUGAGAGGUUGAACGGCCACAUUGGGACUGAGACACGGCCCAGACUCCUACGGGAGGCAGCAGUGGGGAAUAUUGCACAAUGGGGGAAACCCUGAUGCAGCGACGCCGCGUGGAGGAAGAAGGUCUUCGGAUUGUAAACUCCUGUUGUUGGGGAAGAUAAUGACGGUACCCAACAAGGAAGUGACGGCUAACUACGUGCCAGCAGCCGCGGUAAAACGUAGGUCACAAGCGUUGUCCGGAAUUACUGGGUGUAAAGGGAGCGCAGGCGGGAAGACAAGUUGGAAGUGAAAUCCAUGGGCUCAACCCAUGAACUGCUUUCAAAACUGUCUUUCUUGAGUAGUGCAGAGGUAGGCGGAAUUCCCGGUGUAGCGGUGGAAUGCGUAGAUAUCGGGAGGAACACCAGUGGCGAAGGCGGCCUACUGGGCACCAACUGACGCUGAGGCUCGAAAGUGUGGGUAGCAAACAGGAUUAGAUACCCUGGUAGUCCACACCGUAAACGAUGAUUACUAGGUGUUGGAGGAUUGACCCCUUCAGUGCCGCAGUUAACACAAUAAGUAAUCCACCUGGGGAGUACGACCGCAAGGUUGAAACUCAAAGGAAUUGACGGGGGCCCGCACAAGCAGUGGAGUAUGUGGUUUAAUUCGACGCAACGCGAAGAACCUUACCAAGUCUUGACAUCCUGCGACGAUGCUGGAAACAGUAUUUUCCUUCGGGACGCAGAGACAGGUGGUGCAUGGUUGUCGUCAGCUCGUGUCGUGAGAUGUUGGGUUAAGUCCCGCAACGAGCGCAACCCCUGUGAUAUGUUACCAGUAUCAAGUUAGGGACUCAUAUCAGACUGCCGGUGACAAACCGGAGGAAGGUGGGGAUGACGUCAAAUCAUCAUGCCCCUUAUGGCCUGGGCUACACACGUACUACAAUGGCAUCUACAAAGAGCAGCGGCACUGUGAAGUGGAGCGAAUCUCAUAAAGGAUGUCUCAGUUCGGAUUGAAGUCUGCAACCCGACUUCAUGAAGUCGGAAUUGCUAGUAAUCGUGGAUCAGCAUGCCACGGUGAAUACGUUCCCGGGCCUUGCACACACCGCCCGUCA